AUUGAACGCUGGCGGCGUGCCUAACACAUGCAAGUCGAGCGGUAACAGGUGUAGCAAUACAUGCUGACGAGCGGCGAACGGGUGAGUAAUGCUUCGGAAUCUGCCCAUGUAGUGGGGAAUAACCAGCCGAAAGGUUGGCUAAUACCGCAUACGACCCUUGUCCACAAGGCAAAGGUGAAAGCAGGGGAUCGCAAGACCUUGCGCUAUUGGAUGAGCCGAAGUCGGAUUAGCUAGUUGGUAGGGUAACGGCCUACCAAGGCGACGAUCCGUAGCUGGUCUGAGAGGACGACCA
RNAcentral lists this ribosomal RNA (292 nucleotides) under uncultured bacterium. RNAcentral's name for it is "partial 16S ribosomal RNA". It matches the Rfam family "Bacterial small subunit ribosomal RNA", at positions 30 to 306 of the family's 1533-position model. The record is from RNAcentral.